This 252-nucleotide ribosomal RNA is filed under the name uncultured bacterium. RNAcentral's name for it is "partial 16S ribosomal RNA". It matches the Rfam family "Bacterial small subunit ribosomal RNA", at positions 524 to 776 of the family's 1533-position model. The record is from RNAcentral.
UACGUAGGUCACAAGCGUUAUCCGGAUUUAUUGGGCGUAAAGCGUCUGUAGGUGGUUUAAUAAGUCUAGGGUUAAAGACUGGAGCUCAACUCCAGUUCGCCUUAGAAACUAUUAGACUAGAGUUCUUGAGAGAUAAGUGGAAUUUGAUGUGUAGCGGUGGAAUGCAUAGAUAUAUCAAGGAACACCAGUGGCGAAGGCGGCUUAUUGGCAAGUAACUGACACUCAGAGACGAAAGCGUGGGGAGCAAAUAGG